GGACUACUGGGGUAUCUAAUCCUGUUUGCUCCCCACGCUUUCGAGACUCAGCGUCAGUAAUGGGCCAGUGUGUCGCCUUCGCCACUGGUGUUCUUCCGAAUAUCUACGAAUUUCACCUCUACACUCGGAGUUCCACACACCUCUCCCAUACUCUAGAUCGCCAGUAUUGAAGGCAAUUCCGAGGUUGAGCCCCGGGCUUUCACCCCCAACUUAACGAUCCGCCUACGCUCCCUUUACGCCCAGUAAUUCCGAGCAACGCUAGCCCCCUUCGUAUUACCGCGGCUGCUGGCAC
Molecule: ribosomal RNA, 292 nt
Filed under: uncultured Alphaproteobacteria bacterium
Lineage: Bacteria; Pseudomonadati; Pseudomonadota; Alphaproteobacteria
Description: partial 16S ribosomal RNA
Source: RNAcentral